GCCCUGGUAGUCUAGAGGUUAGGAUGCCACCCUGUCACGGUAGCGACCCGGGUUCGAUUCCCGGCCAGGGCG
RNAcentral lists this transfer RNA (72 nucleotides) under Candidatus Iainarchaeum sp. RNAcentral's name for it is "tRNA-Asp". It matches the Rfam family "tRNA". From Rfam's summary of the family: Transfer RNA (tRNA) molecules are approximately 80 nucleotides in length. Their secondary structure includes four short double-helical elements and three loops (D, anti-codon, and T loops). Further hydrogen bonds mediate the characteristic L-shaped molecular structure. tRNAs have two regions of fundamental functional importance: the anti-codon, which is responsible for specific mRNA codon recognition, and the 3' end, to which the tRNAs corresponding amino acid is attached (by aminoacyl-tRNA synthetases). tRNAs cope with the degeneracy of the genetic code in two manners: having more than one tRNA (with a specific anti-codon) for a particular amino acid; and 'wobble' base-pairing, i.e. permitting non-standard base-pairing at the 3rd anti-codon position. The record is from RNAcentral. Lineage: Archaea; Nanobdellati; Candidatus Iainarchaeota; Candidatus Iainarchaeia; Candidatus Iainarchaeales; Candidatus Iainarchaeaceae.